CCCAGACAAGCACCGCUGGGGAGGGCUCUCAAGUCAGACUGUGGGGAGGGGGGAAACGGGAGGUGGUGGCAAAGGGGCGAGGCUCCUCUUUCAGAGGCCUCCCCUCCUUUGCCGCUCCAGCCCUUCCAGGAUCACCCGACACCGGUGCGGUCUGCUUGAAGCCGAAGCCGUGAAGCAGACUGGAAAUAACCAGAGUGGAGAAACUUAUUAAAAUUCAAAGAUAUUGUUUUGUCCUCUCUCCCGUUAAGCUGCCUUGAAAAAGGUAUAAACCUAUAUGUACAAUUAGCUUCACAAAGCCCAAAUACAAGAAACAUGAAGAAAAGAUAGCAAAACACACUGCAACCGAAUUGCUUAAAAGCAGUGAUAGAGAACCCAGCAAGAGUAUCUUUCAUAUGGGAAGAGGAGACAAGAACAUUCUCAGAUAAACAAAACCUGAAAGAAUUUACCAACAUGA
Molecule: long non-coding RNA, 454 nt
Organism: Tupaia belangeri chinensis (Chinese tree shrew)
Lineage: Eukaryota; Metazoa; Chordata; Mammalia; Scandentia; Tupaiidae
Exons: 4
Source: RefSeq, a predicted model, not a curated record